This 1323-nucleotide ribosomal RNA is filed under the name Triticum aestivum (bread wheat). RNAcentral's name for it is "partial small subunit ribosomal RNA". The record is from RNAcentral. Lineage: Eukaryota; Viridiplantae; Streptophyta; Magnoliopsida; Poales; Poaceae.
AUGCGUCCGGCCAUCCUCGCCGCCCUCCUCCUCCUUCUCGCCGCCGCGGCCUCCCCGGCGGCCGCACUCUACUCCGCCGGCUCCCCGGUCCUCCAGCUCAACCCCAACAACUUCAAGAAGGUGUUGAACGCGAACGGGGUGGUGCUGGUGGAGUUCUUCGCGCCGUGGUGCGGGCACUGUAAGCAGCUGACGCCGAUUUGGGAGAAGGCCGCCGGCGUCCUCAAGGGCGUCGCCACAGUCGCCGCGCUCGACGCCGACGCCCACAAGGAGCUCGCGCAGCAAUAUGGAAUACGGGGAUUCCCAACCAUAAAAGUGUUUCUCCCUGGCAAGCCACCAGUGGAUUAUGAAGGCGCAAGAGAUGUAAAGCCAAUUGUAAAUUUUGCUCUGUCGCAGGUCAAAGGUCUUCUCAGAGAUAGGUUGGAUGGUAAGACAUCAGGAGGUUCAAGUGGAAAAACCUCUGGUGGCUCAAGUGAGAAGAAACAUGAACCAAAUGAAUCAGUAGAAUUGAAUUCGAGUAACUUUGACGAACUUGUCGUCAAAAGCAAGGAUCUUUGGAUUGUGGAGUUCUUUGCACCGUGGUGUGGGCACUGCAAGAAAUUGGCUCCUGAAUGGAAAAGGGCUGCAAAGAACUUGAAAGGUCAAGUGAAAUUAGGCCAUGUUGAUUGUGACUCUGAUAAGUCCUUGAUGAGCAAGUACAAGGUAGAAGGCUUUCCAACUAUUUUGGUAUUUGGUGCCGAUAAGGAGAGCCCGUUCCCCUACCAGGGGGCUAGAGCUGCUUCGGCUAUCGAGUCCUUCGCGUUGGAGCAGCUGGAAGCGAAUGCUGCACCCCCUGAAGUUUCUGAAUUGACUAGCGCAGAUGUGAUGGAAGAGAAGUGUGCUUCUGCUGCCAUUUGCUUUGUGUCUUUCCUUCCAGACAUUCUGGACUCAAAGGCAGAAGGAAGAAACAAGUACCUUGAGCUGCUACUUUCUGUUGCUGAGAAAUUUAAGAAGAGUCCAUACAGUUUUGUCUGGGCAGGUGCCGGCAAGCAAGCUGAUCUGGAGAAGCAGGUCGGAGUCGGUGGUUAUGGUUAUCCAGCCAUGGUUGCUCUCAACGUGAAGAAAGGCGCAUACGCUCCGCUUCGUAGCGCCUUCGAGCUCGCCGAAAUCACCGAGUUUGUGAAGGAGGCGGGGCGCGGCGGAAAGGGCAACCUUCCUCUGGAGGGCGCCCCCACGGUGGUCCAGUCGGAACCAUGGGACGGCAAGGACGGAGAGGUCAUCGAGGAGGACGAGUUCUCGCUCGAGGAGCUCAUGGCCGACAGCUCUCCACCCAACGACGAGUUGUGA